GAUGAAGAACGUAGUGAAAUGCGAUAAGUAAUGUGAAUUGCAGAAUUCAGUGAAUCAUCGAAUCUUUGAACGCACAUUGCGCCCGCCAGUAUUCUGGCGGGCAUGCCUGUUCGAGCGUCAUUUCAACCAUCAAGCCCCCGGCUUGUGUUGGGGACCUGCGGCUGCCGCGGGCCCUGAAAAGCAGUGGCGGGCUCGCUGUCACACCGAGCGUAGUAGCAUACAUCUCGCUCUGGGCGUGCUGCGGGUUCCGGCCGUUAAACCACCUUCAUAACCCAAGGUUGACCUCGGAUCAGGUAGGAAGACCCGCUGAACUUAAGCAUAUCAAUAAGCGGAGGA
This 336-nucleotide unclassified non-coding RNA is filed under the name soil metagenome. Its description in RNAcentral is "partial contains 5.8S ribosomal RNA, internal transcribed spacer 2, and large subunit ribosomal RNA". The stretch from base 1 to 120 matches the Rfam family "5.8S ribosomal RNA", at positions 35 to 154 of the family's 154-position model. The record is from RNAcentral.